GACGUAGGGGGCGAGCGGUAAUCGGAAUUACUGGGCGUAAAGCGUGCGCAGGCGGCUUUGCAAGACAGAUGUGAAAUCCCCGGGCUCAACCUGGGAACUGCAUUUGUGACUGCAAGGCUAGAGUACGGCAGAGGGGGAUGGAAUUCCGCGUGUAGCAGUGAAAUGCGUAGAUAUGCGGAGGAACACCAAUGGCGAAGGCAAUCCCCUGGGCCUGUACUGACGCUCAUGCACGAAAGCGUGGGGAGCAAACAGG
This 253-nucleotide ribosomal RNA is filed under the name uncultured bacterium. Its description in RNAcentral is "partial 16S ribosomal RNA". It matches the Rfam family "Bacterial small subunit ribosomal RNA", at positions 524 to 776 of the family's 1533-position model. The record is from RNAcentral.